AACGAACGUUAGCGGCGCGCCUAACACAUGCAAGUCGAGCGAGAAGGAAGCAAUUCCUGUAAAGCGGCGCACGGGUGAGUAACACGUAGGUAAUCUACCUCGAAGUGGUGGAUAACCUUCCGAAAGGAGGGCUAAUACAGCAUGAGACCACGGUUUCGAAAGAGAUUGAGGUCAAAGCGGGCCACUAUACAUAAGCUCGCGCUUCGAGAUGAGCCUGCGGCCCAUCAUGGUAGUUGGUAGGGUAAUGGCCUACCAAGCCGAAGACGGGUAGCUGGUCUGAGAGGAUGAUCAGCCACACUGGAACUGAGACACGGUCCAGACUCCUACGGGAGGCAGCAGUGGGGAAUCUUGCGCAAUGGGCGAAAGCCUGACGCAGCGACGCCGCGUGAGUGAUAAAGGCCUCGGUU
This 407-nucleotide ribosomal RNA is filed under the name uncultured bacterium. RNAcentral describes it as "bacterial SSU rRNA". It matches the Rfam family "Bacterial small subunit ribosomal RNA", at positions 29 to 424 of the family's 1533-position model. The record is from RNAcentral.